GUGCUUGUUUUGGCAAUACACAUACUAAAAUUAGAAUAAAGAAAAGAUUAGCAUGUCCCUUAUAUAAGGAUAACACCCAAAUUCAUGAAGUGUUUCAUAUUUUU
Molecule: small nuclear RNA, 104 nt
Organism: Manis pentadactyla (Chinese pangolin)
Lineage: Eukaryota; Metazoa; Chordata; Mammalia; Pholidota; Manidae
Source: RefSeq, a predicted model, not a curated record